AAAGGGGUGCCUAUAUGGCUGAGAUGUAUACCCUUGGAACCUGAUACGGUUAAUACCGUCGCAGGGAUUGUCCU
Molecule: non-coding RNA, 74 nt
Filed under: uncultured Paramuribaculum sp.
Lineage: Bacteria; Pseudomonadati; Bacteroidota; Bacteroidia; Bacteroidales; Muribaculaceae
Description: TPP riboswitch (THI element)
Rfam family: TPP riboswitch aptamer (THI element)
About the family: Vitamin B(1) in its active form thiamin pyrophosphate (TPP) is an essential coenzyme that is synthesised by coupling of pyrimidine and thiazole moieties in bacteria. The previously detected thiamin-regulatory element, thi box was extended, resulting in a new, highly conserved RNA secondary structure, the THI element, which is widely distributed in eubacteria and also occurs in some archaea.
Source: RNAcentral